AGAAGAUGGGGACCCCUACGUGCGGCCAGAGGAUGAGAACUAUGAAAAUGACUCAGUCCGGCAGCUGGAGAACGAGCUCAAGAUGGAGGAGUAUCUGAAACAGAAGCUGCAGGAUGAAGCCUACCAGGUCAGCUUGCAAGGUUGAAUACAAUAUCCUUUUAUCACUCUCCUCUCAAGCAAGCUAUAGUCAGACAGAUGAUGAAGGUAACACGCAAGCUGGUGAUGAAGGAGAGCCCCGCACCCACCCCCGCAGAAGAGAAGACACCGGCCCAGGAGCAGCCUCAGCGCCCAGAGGUGCCGCCCCGCACAGCAGCUCCUGACAGACCCCCACCCUUAGAGACGCGUUCUGCCGACAGUAGUGCAGUUGACUUUUCAUUCUAAGAUUCGUAGUUCAUAGGUGUGUGUUUUGAGAAGGAAAAAAAGAAAAGACUUCUGACUCCUGUUCAAAGCUAACUUAUCAGCUGCAUCUUCUGUAACAUGGCUCAUCCCUGAUUAGAAACAGAAACAGCAACCACCACCACACACACACAGGAAAAGGAAAACCCACAGGCUGAAAACCCACGCUGCUCUUACUCACGAUGGCAGUAUUAACAAGCAUUUUAAGCCUUUGCACAUGAUAUCGAACCUGUUCCGUUUACAAUGACAAUAUUAAUACUGUUUGUAGCUAGACGUUUUGAUUUCUGAAUUCUUUGAGAUUUUAGCGAACCAGUUUAUUAUACACUGUACAUUUUUUUUCCACAGCAAUUGGAAAAAAACAACCACUUGCAAUUAUUCACUAACCCCGAAGGAUUUGGUACCUGAGUGUACAGACUCAGAGCCCGGAAGCCAAGAAGGGUCCUUGGCCUGCACUGUCUGCAUUUGUCUCUAAGUCCCUGUGAGCAGUGACUUGAACCAAUCACACCAGGAUAAUCCAGCCUUUGGGGCUUCUUUCUAACUUGGGGUUGUUUUCUUUCAAGAUACUCUAACAAAUCAGCCAUAGAAUUUAGUGUAAAUAUUUUUUCCAAGUAGAUAUCAUAUUCAAAAAGAAAAAAAAAAAAAGGCAACAUUCAAAUGAUAUAGAAUCUAGUUUUUAAAAUCAGCACAGAUCUUCUUAAAAACUGUGAACUAUGUUUUGAAAUACUCGUUGCUAAAGCUGUUUAUAAACCACAGGUGCCAUAAGAUCCCCAAACGGACUCGAGUUAUCUCUGCUCUUCCAUGGGCGCGUCCCUCUCGUUUUAGCUUUAGGGAGCAUGUCUAACCACACCGCUCGUCCACAGCUUCCCCUAUCAGGUUGUCUGGAGGCCUUCAGCUUUAAAUGUACAGGCUUAAAGUGUGCUUGCAAACAGUCCUUCUCCUUUUAUUUCUGAAUGUUUAUUGCCUUAGCUGGCUACCUGGUGUUCUGCAUGCAGCCUUCUGUGGUCAUGGGAGAGGAAACGGGCUCUUCUAAGUGGCGUUGGGAUUUUGCACUCAGCGAAAAGCUGAUGUGCAAAAGCACGGUGGAAGAAGGAAGAAUGAAAGCCUCUGUGGAUGGUCCUUUAUGAGGGCCCUUGUCAGGUAGCCUUAAAGACCUCCCUUAGGGAGUCUGGGGAAAUGAAAACAUAAUCUACUUGGUGCAAGACUGGAUGAAAUAAAAAUCUGGCAACAUAUUGAAUAUGUUAUACUUAAAUUGGCAGCUUCUCUGGAAUUCCUAUCUCCUUUAAAAGAAAGGUGAGAACGUCAUUUUAGAACAGUGGCCCUCAAAGCGUGUGUCCUGGACCAGCAGCAUCAGCAUCACUUUGGGAAUCUAUUUAGAAAUGCAAAUUCUUAAACCCCAACCCGGGCCUGCUGAAUCCAAAACUCUGGGGAUUGGGCCCAGCCAUCUGUGCUUUAAUGGGCCCUCCAGGUGAUUCCUGAUGCAUGCUAAAGGUUGAGAACCACGGCUUCGGAAUAAAGUUGCAUAUAAAAUCUCUAAAAAGGCCUUAUUCAGAAUAAGCAAGAAAGGCUCUGAGUCAAGCUCAAAGCUUCAACAAUUCGAUUUUGCUUCCGGGGCUGGCAGAAACCUUCUCCCACCCCCACAUAGUUGGUGGUUGGUGUGUGCCCAGCUGAGAACAGACAUCCUGACACCUUCCAGGUCCCUCUCCAGAGGGCUCUGAGUUGGUCGUGUCUCUGCAUCUGGUCAGAAACCAUGUCCUUGGCUGCCCUUUGGAACAAAAUCACUUGCCUCGGGGAUAGCAAAGCUCUCAGUUGGCAUUAGUAAGAAGCCCAUUCUGUCCGUUGAUGUGCUUCUUCAUACUUCCCCAGAGAAGCAGCCUGACAAAUGUCCCUGAGAACAGGCUGACACCAAAGGGCACAACUGCACAGUUCUCAGAUUUCUUUGCACAGAUGGAUUUGAUGAUGAGUUUUGCUGGUUUAUCUUAAUGUUCAUCUCCUUUCCACUGCCCAUCGUCUGUGAAACCAUACCUCUCUAGAUGGGGCAGGUGGCCCCUCGUGCCUCAUACUCAGUACUUAAAACCACUCCAUGCCAGCUACCUACAUUGCUGUCAGCUCUAACUCAUAGCCAGGUAGUUCUGGAACUCGGAACUCGGAUCCUGCAAGUGGCAUUCAGCCCCUGACUGGACUGAGCUGACAUCUGUUGUCACUCUGUCUCUGCAUCAAAACGCUUGUCUAAGGUUUGAACCGUUCUGCUGAUAACUGUCCCCCUUGUCAUAGUUUUCAUUGCCAACUCCACGACAUGGUUGUCGAUAGCAUGGUACAAGCCAUUGCAAGGACUCCGGAAAGUGCCGCCAGUGACCAGUUCCUGACUAACCAGCCACCUUUUCUUUCCCUUAGCUCCACGUCAGCACUGAGACCAGACUCAAGCACCCCUGUCCUGUAACCGAGACAAAAUGGCGUGUAUUGUUUUGGGGUUUUGUGGUUUUGGGGGGGUUUCUUUCCUUGGCUCUCCAGAUUUACUUUUGGGACCUGUUCUAAGUGCAAACCCAGCAGGUUUCACCUGUCCUAUCCAGGAGAUACAGUUACAUCUUGCGGGGAUUAUUUCUUUCUUGUUCCACAAUAAAUUGCACAUCCAUCUCCAUCACAGAUGAUGGCCUAUUAAUGAGCACUGGUCUAACACAGCCAACCUCCCCUAUGGCGCCAUGUGGAGGGAGGGAGGAGGGCAAAAUCUACUGUAUGAGAUUCAGGAAUCAGUUGCGGUUGGUCAGGACGCAAGUCUGGGUAAGUUCGGUUGGUCAGAGGGAGAUGUGCUGGAGAUUGUGAAAAAUGGAUUCUCGAAUGAUCUCUAUAAGGCAGGGAAGGUUCAUUUGUAAGUAGUAAUGUGAGUGUGGCCUUUGUUGUGAUAUACUAUGUAUUUUCUUAUAUGCAUGAGCCGAACUGUCGCAUCAUAAUUUAGCCCUGAUGUCUGCUUUUAUUUUGAUCAUCUUUGUCCACCCUUAUUAGUUCUUUGCUGUUAACUGUAGAGAGACCUUGUAAAUACGGCACCUUUGGUUGCUGCAAUCACCUUGGUUUGAGUCCACGCAAGGAGCCACAAACAAGAACUCCACUGUGUCCUCAGAAGAAAGGGCCUUUUUACUUUUGAACCAAAAAGAGAAAAAAAAUCAGAAAUGUUCCAUCUUGAGGCUAAUUAACUAUAAGACGUUUUUAAUUAUGACUACUGUCAUUUGACACCAUUUGAAAUAACCAAUUCAGAGACACUAAAGAUUUCACAAUAUUCAUUGGUAUUGUAACAAAACUACUAUUGUAUGGGUUUUUUGUUUUGUUUUUUUUUUUUUGUAUUGCUGUUAAGUAUUGUGUGUGUGUGUGUGUGUGUGUGCUGGAACCUCCUGGGGACAUGUUAUAUUUUGAAGUGAUUAAACUAUUUAAUUGUGUGUCUAUAUUUUGGAAUGGAAUUAUUUCUUCAUUAAAAAUGUUUUUAAAAACACUA
Non-coding RNA from Leptonychotes weddellii (Weddell seal), 3877 nucleotides. Lineage: Eukaryota; Metazoa; Chordata; Mammalia; Carnivora; Phocidae. The record is from RefSeq and is a predicted model, not a curated record.